This 270-nucleotide unclassified non-coding RNA is filed under the name uncultured fungus. RNAcentral describes it as "sequence contains ITS1". The record is from RNAcentral. Lineage: Eukaryota; Fungi.
UUGAUUUAUUUUGUUUUUAAAACUCAGACUUCAAUAUAAUAAAAGUGUUUUUUGAAAAUAACUUUGGCGAACGCUCACUCACAAUUUCUUGUCAGUGGGCCCUUUUCCCCUCUUUUUUUCCCGAAGGAAAAAAUAUCAAGAAAUUAGGCACCGUUUCGCCAAAGAUGAACAAAUUAUGAUUCACAAAAGGGUGGGAGUUGAGAUGCUUCGGUAAAAAAACAUAUUUCUCAAAACUCGGUAAUGAUCCUUCCGCAGGUUCACCUACGGAAA